UCCCUCUUAGCUGAGUUGGUAAAGAAUCUGCCUGCAAUGCUGGAGACCUGGGUUUGAUUCCUGGGUCGGGAA
Molecule: transfer RNA, 72 nt
Filed under: Bos taurus (domestic cattle)
Lineage: Eukaryota; Metazoa; Chordata; Mammalia; Artiodactyla; Bovidae
Also listed under: 3 other names
Rfam family: tRNA
About the family: Transfer RNA (tRNA) molecules are approximately 80 nucleotides in length. Their secondary structure includes four short double-helical elements and three loops (D, anti-codon, and T loops).
Source: Rfam by way of RNAcentral